UACGAAGGGGGCUAGCGUUGCUCGGAAUCACUGGGCGUAAAGGGUGCGUAGGCGGGUCUUUAAGUCAGGGGUGAAAUCCUGGAGCUCAACUCCAGAACUGCCUUUGAUACUGAAGAUCUUGAGUACAGAUGAGGUAGGCGGAAUUGACGGUGUAGCGGUGAAAUGCUUAGAUAUCGUCAAGAACACCGAUAGCGAAGGCAGCUUACUGGGCUGUAACUGACGCUGAGGCACGAAAGUGUGGGGAUCAAACAGG
This 253-nucleotide ribosomal RNA is filed under the name uncultured bacterium. RNAcentral describes it as "partial 16S ribosomal RNA". It matches the Rfam family "Bacterial small subunit ribosomal RNA", at positions 524 to 776 of the family's 1533-position model. The record is from RNAcentral.